CGGCCGCAAGGCUAAAACUCAAAGGAAUUGACGGGGGCCCGCACAAGCGGCGGAGCAUGUGGAUUAAUUCGAUGCAACGCGAAGAACCUUACCUGGGCUUGACAUAUACGGGAUCGCCGCAGAGAUGUGGUUUCCCUUGUGGCUCGUAUACAGGUGGUGCAUGGUUGUCGUCAGCUCGUGUCGUGAGAUGUUGGGUUAAGUCCCGCAACGAGCGCAACCCUUGUCUUAUGUUGCCAGCACGUUAUGGUGGGGACUCGUGAGAAACUGCCGGGGUCAACUCGGAGGAAGGUGGGGAUGACGUCAAAUCAUCAUGCCCCUUAUGUCCAGGGCUUCACACAUGCUACAAUGGUCGGUACAGUGGGUUGCGAUACCGUGAGGUGGAGCUAAUCCCUUAAAGCCGGUCUCAGUUCGGAUCGGGGUCUGCAACUCGACCCCGUGAAGUCGGAGUCGCUAGUAAUCGCAGAUCAGCAACGCUGCGGUGAAUACGUUCCCGGGCCUUGUACACACCGCCCGUCACGUCAUGAAAGUCGGUAACACCCGAAGCCAGUGGCCCAACCCUUGUGGGGGGAGCUGUCGAAGGUGGGAUCGGUGAUUGG
RNAcentral lists this non-coding RNA (596 nucleotides) under Prevotella sp. S7 MS 2. RNAcentral describes it as "Bacterial small subunit ribosomal RNA". It matches the Rfam family "Bacterial small subunit ribosomal RNA", at positions 883 to 1478 of the family's 1533-position model. Lineage: Bacteria; Pseudomonadati; Bacteroidota; Bacteroidia; Bacteroidales; Prevotellaceae. The record is from Rfam by way of RNAcentral.